This 309-nucleotide long non-coding RNA is filed under the name Gossypium barbadense (sea-island cotton). Its description in RNAcentral is "long non-coding RNA (GBAR_LNC023516)". Lineage: Eukaryota; Viridiplantae; Streptophyta; Magnoliopsida; Malvales; Malvaceae. The record is from RNAcentral.
UACAAAGUGCUCCAUUAUUGAGAUGUUUUGUGGCUGGAAAUUAAGUGGAUUAAUAGCCACAUUUGUUGUCACUUUAUCAGCCUAUAAAUAGAGGCUUGAACUUGUGUUGUAAAGGAAGAAAAAUGAGAAGAAAAAAGAAAUAAGAGAAGCAACGUGAGUGAGAGUGAGAAGGUUAGCAAACCUUGAGUGAGUUAAAAUCUAGCAGCAGCUAGACUAUCUAGUCAUUGAGAAAAUAUUUGUAAUCUUCGUAUUGUAAUAUAUUGAGUGUGUAAUAAAAAGUAAAUUUUCAGCCCAUCACGUUUCCAACAU